GGUUUGUUAUUGCAGCUAAGAUUUUAAGAUAACUGAGUAGUAAUAGUGGAUACAAAACAUUAUUAGAUUUAGUAAGGGUGAUUGAAAUUUAAUGUUUUGCGUGGGUGUAGUACUGUGAAGGAAAAACUGGAAACUGUAAAUUAGAAGUGGUUAAAACUUGUACCUUUUGCAUCAUGGUUUAGCUAGAUUAGCUUCUGAAUAGAUGGUCUCGAAACCUAGUGAGCUAUCUUUGUUCCGGUUUAUAGAUCGUGAUGAUGGGUUGGUUGUGGCAAAAACCUCCUUAGAACCAAAGAUAGAUAUGAAAUUUUAUUCGCAUUGGGUGAUAGCUAGUUCUUCUUGAAAGGCAUAUUAGUGCUCUGAGCUAUGGACCUAACAAGGCGGAACAAAGUUUGCGAUUGUUUAUGGUGGUUCAGUUAGGCUUUCGAGGAUAAGCUCGAGAGCGGUUUAAGUUUGCAUUUAAUUUUUCUUGAAAUAUAAGCUUAGUAAUGGCUAUUUACAGGGAUUUUGUUAUAAUUCAUUUUUUAAUUAUUAAUAUGAUUUAUAUGCUUAGUUAGUAUAAAGAAGAGAUUUUAAGAAUUUGGUUAUAAAAUGUUUUUAUGCUAAAAUGAGUAUUGUUUAAUGUGGUAAGUUGUUAACGGGUUAAAAGUUAGCAUUUAUGAAUUUAAUAUCAGGGCAAAAUCAUAAAAAGGAACUCGGCAAAGACGUAUUCUGCCUGUUUAUCAAAAACAUGGCUUUGUGUGGAGGUUAAGAUACGAAGUCGGGCCUGCCCAGUGAGUUUUAAACGGCCGCGGUACUCUGACCGUGCAAAGGUAGCAUAAUCAUUUGCCUUAUAAUUGAAGGCUGGAAUGAAUGGUUUGACAAGAAUACAGCUGUCUCUUUUAGAUUACUUAGAAUUUUAUCUCUGAAUGAAAAAGUUCAGAUAUAAUUAAAAGACAAGAAGACCCUAUCGAGCUUUAGAGGAGCUAGUAGAUUUAAUAUUAGUUAAUAUUAGUAAAAGACAAGUCUACUAAAAACUUUGGUUGGGGCAACCGAGGAGCAUAAAAAGCCUCCUUUAAAUUUAUAGCCUUACUUGUGUUGAUCCAGAGUUUCUGAUCAAAGGAAUUAGUUACCGUAGGGAUAACAGCAUUAUCUUUUUCAAGAGCCCAUAUCGAAAAAAAGGUUUGUGACCUCGAUGUUGGACCAGAAUGUCCUAAAGAUGCAGACGUCUUUAAGGGUUGGUCUGUUCGACCAUUAAAAUUCUACGUGAUCUGAGUUCAGACCGGCGUGAGCCAGGUCAGUUUCUAUCUUUAUAUUUUUUGGCUAUGUUUAGUACGAAAGGACCAAUGUAGUGUAUAAGAUGCUUGGAUUAGAUUAGAUAUAAUUUGUCUUUAAG
This 1372-nucleotide ribosomal RNA is filed under the name Conus betulinus. RNAcentral's name for it is "16S ribosomal RNA". It matches the Rfam family "Bacterial large subunit ribosomal RNA", at positions 469 to 2748 of the family's 2925-position model. The record is from RNAcentral. Lineage: Eukaryota; Metazoa; Mollusca; Gastropoda; Neogastropoda; Conidae.